Molecule: long non-coding RNA, 437 nt
Filed under: Phoenix dactylifera (date palm)
Lineage: Eukaryota; Viridiplantae; Streptophyta; Magnoliopsida; Arecales; Arecaceae
Description: long non-coding RNA (PDAC_LNC021225)
Source: RNAcentral
UUGAGUAGGAAUUUGACUUUUAGAUUUAAUUCCUUAAUGAGUGUUUUUGCCGUUUCAUUUUCAAUGCUAAGUUUUGAAUUUUUAUCCUUUAGGUCAAUAAUGCUAUCAUUUUUAUAGCUCUCCUUUUCAAUCAAUAGGUUUUUAAUAUCAUCCUUUAGUUUUUGAUUGGAGGCCUUUAGUUCUUUAUUUUUUACUCCUAACAUACUACAAUCAUUCAUGAGUUCUUGGAAAAUUCAUAUAAUUCUUCUAAAGUAAAAUCUGUAGUUGAGCUUUGACAUACCUCAUCGUCGUCGAAUGCCAUGAAACACAAGUUGGCGGUCUCUUCCUUCUCUUCCUCGGAGGAGGAUGUGUCACUAUCAUCCCAAGUCGCUUUCAACGCCUUCUUCUUCUUCUUUCCAUAGUGCUUCUUCUGUUGAGGGCAUUCGGAGCGGAUGUGU